Molecule: ribosomal RNA, 492 nt
Filed under: uncultured bacterium
Lineage: Bacteria
Description: partial 16S ribosomal RNA
Rfam family: Bacterial small subunit ribosomal RNA
Source: RNAcentral
AGUGAACGCUGGCGGUAGGCCUAACACAUGCAAGUCGAACGGCAGCACAGUAAGAGCUUGCUCUUACGGGUGGCGAGUGGCGGACGGGUGAGGAAUACAUCGGAAUCUACUUUUUCGUGGGGGAUAACGUAGGGAAACUUACGCUAAUACCGCAUACGACCUACGGGUGAAAGCAGGGGAUCUUCGGACCUUGCGCGAUUGAAUGAGCCGAUGUCGGAUUAGCUAGUUGGCGGGGUAAAGGCCCACCAAGGCGACGAUCCGUAGCUGGUCUGAGAGGAUGAUCAGCCACACUGGAACUGAGGCACGGUCCAGACUCCUACGGGAGGCAGCAGUGGGGAAUAUUGGACAAUGGGCGCAAGCCUGAUCCAGCCAUAUCGCGUGGGUGAAGAAGGCCUUCGGGUUGUAAAGCCCUUUUGUUGGGAAAGAAAAGCAGCAGGUUAAUACCCCGCUGUUCUGACGGUACCCAAAGAAUAAGCACCGGCUAACUUCGUG